RNAcentral lists this transfer RNA (86 nucleotides) under Actinomycetes bacterium. Its description in RNAcentral is "Actinobacteria bacterium tRNA-Leu". It matches the Rfam family "tRNA". From Rfam's summary of the family: Transfer RNA (tRNA) molecules are approximately 80 nucleotides in length. Lineage: Bacteria; Bacillati; Actinomycetota; Actinomycetes. RNAcentral also lists the same sequence under 2 other names. The record is from RNAcentral.
GGGGGCGUGGCGAAACGGCAACCGCCGAGGACUUAAAAUCCUCUGUCCGCAAGGACUUGCAGGUUCGACUCCUGCCGCCCCCACCA